This 376-nucleotide ribosomal RNA is filed under the name uncultured organism. RNAcentral's name for it is "partial 16S ribosomal RNA". It matches the Rfam family "Bacterial small subunit ribosomal RNA", at positions 527 to 896 of the family's 1533-position model. The record is from RNAcentral.
GUAGGGUGCGAGCGUUGUCCGGAAUUAUUGGGCGUAAAGAGCUUGUAGGCGGUUUGUCGCGUCUGCUGUGAAAAUUCAGGGCUUAACCCUGGACGUGCAGUGGGUACGGGCAGACUAGAGUAUGGUAGGGGAGACUGGAAUUCCUGGUGUAGCGGUGGAAUGCGCAGAUAUCAGGAGGAACACCGAUGGCGAAGGCAGGUCUCUGGGCCAUUACUGACGCUGAGAAGCGAAAGCAUGGGGGGGAGCGAACAGGAUUAGAUACCCUGGUAGUCCAUGCCGUAAACGUUGGGCGCUAGGCGUGGGUCUCAUUCCACGAGAUCCGUGUCGCAGCUAACGCAUUAAGCGCCCCCGCCUGGGGAGUACGGCCGCAAGGCUA